This 75-nucleotide transfer RNA is filed under the name Bacteroidia bacterium. Its description in RNAcentral is "tRNA-Arg". It matches the Rfam family "tRNA". Rfam says of the family: Transfer RNA (tRNA) molecules are approximately 80 nucleotides in length. The record is from RNAcentral. Lineage: Bacteria; Pseudomonadati; Bacteroidota; Bacteroidia.
GGUCCUAUAGUUCAAGGGAUAGAACGGAAGUUUCCUAAACUUCAGAUCCAGGUUCGAGUCCUGGUGGGACUACAA